RNAcentral lists this ribosomal RNA (2144 nucleotides) under Vibrio vulnificus JY1701. RNAcentral describes it as "bacterial LSU rRNA". It matches the Rfam family "Bacterial large subunit ribosomal RNA", at positions 1 to 2189 of the family's 2925-position model. The record is from RNAcentral. Lineage: Bacteria; Pseudomonadati; Pseudomonadota; Gammaproteobacteria; Vibrionales; Vibrionaceae.
UUAAGUGACUAAGCGUACACGGUGGAUGCCUUGGCAGUCAGAGGCGAUGAAGGACGUAGUAACUUGCGAUAAGCGUAGAUGAGGCAGUAACAGCCACUUGAGUCUACGAUUUCCGAAUGGGGAAACCCACUGGCAUAAGCCAGUAUCAUUGAGUGAAUACAUAGCUCAAUGAAGCGAACCGGGAGAACUGAAACAUCUAAGUACCCCGAGGAAAAGAAAUCAACCGAGAUUCCGAAAGUAGCGGCGAGCGAAAUUGGAUUAGCCCUUAAGCUUUACAUGUGUUAGACGAACGGUCUGGAAAGUCCGACGAUACAGGGUGAUAGUCCCGUAGUUGACGAUGCAUGUUCAGUGAAAUCGAGUAGGGCGGGACACGUGUUAUCCUGUCUGAAUAUGGGGGGACCAUCCUCCAAGGCUAAAUACUCCUGACUGACCGAUAGUGAACCAGUACCGUGAGGGAAAGGCGAAAAGAACCCCUGUGAGGGGAGUGAAAUAGAACCUGAAACCGUGUACGUACAAGCAGUAGGAGCACCUUCGUGGUGUGACUGCGUACCUUUUGUAUAAUGGGUCAGCGACUUAUAUUCAGUGGCAAGGUUAACCAUCUAGGGGAGCCGUAGGGAAACCGAGUCUUAACUGGGCGCCAUAGUCUCUGGAUAUAGACCCGAAACCGAGUGAUCUAGCCAUGGGCAGGUUGAAGGUUGAGUAACAUCAACUGGAGGACCGAACCGACUAAUGUUGAAAAUUAGCGGAUGACUUGUGGCUAGGGGUGAAAGGCCAAUCAAACUCGGAGAUAGCUGGUUCUCCCCGAAAGCUAUUUAGGUAGCGCCUCGGACGAAUACUACUGGGGGUAGAGCACUGUUAAGGCUAGGGGGUCAUCCCGACUUACCAACCCUUUGCAAACUCCGAAUACCAGUAAGUACUAUCCGGGAGACACACGGCGGGUGCUAACGUCCGUCGUGGAGAGGGAAACAACCCAGACCGCCAGCUAAGGUCCCAAAUUACAGCUAAGUGGGAAACGAUGUGGGAAGGCUUAGACAGCUAGGAUGUUGGCUUAGAAGCAGCCAUCAUUUAAAGAAAGCGUAAUAGCUCACUAGUCGAGUCGGCCUGCGCGGAAGAUGUAACGGGGCUAAGUUGUAAACCGAAGCUGCGGCAAUGUUCUAUGAACAUUGGGUAGGGGAGCGUUCUGUAAGCCGUUGAAGGUGUGUUGUAAAGCAUGCUGGAGGUAUCAGAAGUGCGAAUGCUGACAUGAGUAACGACAAGGGGGGUGAAAAACCUCCCCGCCGGAAGACCAAGGGUUCCUGUCCAACGUUAAUCGGGGCAGGGUAAGUCGACCCCUAAGGCGAGGCUGAAAAGCGUAGUCGAUGGGAAACGGGUUAAUAUUCCCGUACUUCUUACAAUUGCGAUGGGGGGACGGAGAAGGCUAGGUGGGCCUGGCGACGGUUGUCCAGGUUCAAGUGCGUAGGCUGAGUGUUUAGGUAAAUCCGGAUACUCUUAAGGCUGAGACACGACGUCGAGCUACUACGGUAGUGAAGUCAUUGAUGCCAUGCUUCCAGGAAAAGCCUCUAAGCUUCAGAUUGUAAGGAAUCGUACCCCAAACCGACACAGGUGGUCGGGUAGAGAAUACCAAGGCGCUUGAGAGAACUCGGGUGAAGGAACUAGGCAAAAUGGUACCGUAACUUCGGGAGAAGGUACGCUCUUGAUGGUGAAGUCCCUUGCGGAUGGAGCUGACGAGAGUCGCAGAUACCAGGUGGCUGCAACUGUUUAUUAAAAACACAGCACUGUGCAAAAUCGUAAGAUGACGUAUACGGUGUGACGCCUGCCCGGUGCCGGAAGGUUAAUUGAUGGGGUUAGCGUAAGCGAAGCUCUUGAUCGAAGCCCCGGUAAACGGCGGCCGUAACUAUAACGGUCCUAAGGUAGCGAAAUUCCUUGUCGGGUAAGUUCCGACCUGCACGAAUGGCGUAAUGAUGGCCACGCUGUCUCCACCCGAGACUCAGUGAAAUUGAAAUCGCUGUGAAGAUGCAGUGUACCCGCGGCUAGACGGAAAGACCCCGUGAACCUUUACUACAGCUUGGCACUGAACAUUGAACCUACAUGUGUAGGAUAGGUGGGAGGCUUUGAAGACGUGACGCCAGUUGCGUUGGAGCCGU